UAGCCGUAAACGAUACUCGCUAGGUGUCGGCCACGGUGCGACCGUUGUCGGUGCCGUAGGGAAGCCGUGAAGCGAGCCACCUGGGAAGUACGGCCGCAAGGCUGAAACUUAAAGGAAUUGGCGGGGGAGCACCACAACGGGUGGGGCUUGCGGUUUAAUUGGAUUCAACGCCGGAAAUCUUACCGGGACCGACAGCAACAUGAAGGCCAGGCUGAAGACUUUGCCGGAUUAGCUGAGAGGUGGUGCAUGGCGUAGUCGUGU
Molecule: ribosomal RNA, 261 nt
Filed under: uncultured archaeon
Lineage: Archaea
Description: partial 16S ribosomal RNA
Rfam family: Archaeal small subunit ribosomal RNA
Source: RNAcentral